Molecule: ribosomal RNA, 253 nt
Filed under: uncultured bacterium
Lineage: Bacteria
Description: partial 16S ribosomal RNA
Rfam family: Bacterial small subunit ribosomal RNA
Source: RNAcentral
UACGGAGGGGACUAGCGUUGUUCGGAAUUACUGGGCGUAAAGCGCACGUAGGCGGAUUUGUAAGUCAGGGGUGAAAUCCCGGGGCUCAACCUCGGAACUGCCUUUGAUACUGCACAUCUCGAGUCCGGAAGAGGUGAGUGGAAUUCCUAGUGUAGAGGUGAAAUUCGUAGAUAUUAGGAAGAACACCAGUGGCGAAGGCGGCUCACUGGUCCGGUACUGACGCUGAGGUGCGAAAGCGUGGGGAGCAAACAGG